This 253-nucleotide ribosomal RNA is filed under the name uncultured bacterium. RNAcentral's name for it is "partial 16S ribosomal RNA". It matches the Rfam family "Bacterial small subunit ribosomal RNA", at positions 524 to 776 of the family's 1533-position model. The record is from RNAcentral.
UACGAAGGGUGCAAACGUUGCUCGGAAUCAUUGGGCGUAAAGCGCGCGUAGGUGGCUUCGUAAGUCCGUUGUGAAAGUCAAAGGCUCAACCUUUGAAAGCCGAUGGAUACUGCGGAGCUAGAGUACGGAAGAGGCGAGUGGAAUUCCUGGUGUAGCGGUGGAAUGCGCAGAUAUCAGGAGGAACACCAAUAGCGAAGGCAGCUCGCUGGGACGUUACUGACACUGAGGCGCGAAAGCGUGGGGAGCGAACAGG